CCGGCACGGGUGAGUAACACGUAUCCAACCUGCCGUCUACUCUUGGACAGCCUUCUGAAAGGAAGAUUAAUACAAGAUGGCAUCAUGAGUCCGCAUGUUCACAUGAUUAAAGGUAUUCCGGUAGACGAUGGGGAUGCGUUCCAUUAGAUAGUAGGCGGGGUAACGGCCCGCCUAGUCUUCGAUGGAUAGGGGUUCUGAGAGGAAGGUCCCCCACAUUGGAACUGAGACACGGUCCAA
This 237-nucleotide ribosomal RNA is filed under the name uncultured bacterium. Its description in RNAcentral is "partial 16S ribosomal RNA". It matches the Rfam family "Bacterial small subunit ribosomal RNA", at positions 100 to 334 of the family's 1533-position model. The record is from RNAcentral.